GGGGGUGAUUGGUCUCGACGGGGACACCUAGGCGAGGUGGCAAGCGGAGCUUCCGGAUGCUCCUAAAACCCCGGAACGGCAAAAUAAAUGCCGACUAUGCAGCCGUUCCCGCCUACGCGCUGAACUAGCGUAGGCCAUCUCCGGGGCCAGAGCCCGCGGGGCCUCGGGGGUGUGGACCAAGCGGGCUAGCUUGGCUGUCGUGCCUCCCGGCAGCCAAGCGACAUCUAAGGAGGCUGGGGACUGAGCGAUCCUGCCCGUGGGAGCGCGAGGUCCGACCCCAAAAACACGGGAUAAGCUUGUAGAAGCCGAGCCGAUGGUGUUUCCGGACGCGGGUUCGAAUCCCGCCACCUCCACCA
This 356-nucleotide transfer-messenger RNA is filed under the name Candidatus Bipolaricaulota bacterium. It matches the Rfam family "transfer-messenger RNA". Rfam says of the family: Bacterial tmRNA, also known as 10Sa RNA or SsrA, is named for its dual tRNA and mRNA-like properties. Its role is to liberate the mRNA from a stalled ribosome. To accomplish this part of the tmRNA is used as a reading frame that ends in a translation stop signal. The record is from RNAcentral. RNAcentral also lists the same sequence under 1 other name. Lineage: Bacteria; Candidatus Bipolaricaulota.